CCGCCUGUCGUUCAAUGGUUAGAGCCGGCCGCUCACAACGGUCUGGUUGCAGGUUCGAGUCCUGCCGGGCCCA
RNAcentral lists this transfer RNA (73 nucleotides) under Bradyrhizobium erythrophlei. Its description in RNAcentral is "tRNA_Val_CAC". It matches the Rfam family "tRNA". From Rfam's summary of the family: Transfer RNA (tRNA) molecules are approximately 80 nucleotides in length. Their secondary structure includes four short double-helical elements and three loops (D, anti-codon, and T loops). Lineage: Bacteria; Pseudomonadati; Pseudomonadota; Alphaproteobacteria; Hyphomicrobiales; Nitrobacteraceae. The record is from RNAcentral.